CGGACACCUGGCCUCUGAGAAAAAUGGUUAGCCUGAGUUUUUAUUUUGAAAAGCCAGAGCGCGAGGGCGAGGCUUUCCACACCAUCCUGCAGUCAUAACUCCCUUGUCUCUGGACCUGCAAGAUGGCGUCCAUUGCAAUGUGCAACCAGCACCGGUAAAUAGAGAUGCAACCGGUGCUCCAGUCUGUGAGUCACCGUGUCUGUUGAGACGCCCACCACAACGAUGUCACACCUGAGUGAAGCCAGACAUGCCUGUGGGGCUCAGUGAUGGAAGCAGCUUUGAUUUUUACAGACAUUUCCAUAAUUCUACCUAUAAAUCAUCUCACCGACUAACUUCUGGUCUCAAAUUUUAGAGACAAAACAAGUCUGAGGACAGAAAAAAAAAAGAAUUGUUUGCAUUUCUCACCUCAUUAAAUGCUUGACAAAAAUGCCUUUUGUGAGAUUAAGAAAGUUCUAUAUACUGUUUCUGUAAAAAGGGAAAAGUCAGAGAGAACAGUCAGUAAUAAAAUAGUAAAAAAAAAAAAG
Xiphophorus couchianus (Monterrey platyfish) is the source of this 524-nucleotide long non-coding RNA. RefSeq lists it as uncharacterized. The record is from RefSeq and is a predicted model, not a curated record. Lineage: Eukaryota; Metazoa; Chordata; Actinopteri; Cyprinodontiformes; Poeciliidae. The transcript is spliced from 2 exons.